RNAcentral lists this ribosomal RNA (907 nucleotides) under Limosilactobacillus mucosae. RNAcentral describes it as "bacterial SSU rRNA". It matches the Rfam family "Bacterial small subunit ribosomal RNA", at positions 550 to 1455 of the family's 1533-position model. The record is from RNAcentral. Lineage: Bacteria; Bacillati; Bacillota; Bacilli; Lactobacillales; Lactobacillaceae.
AUUAUUGGGCGUAAAGCGAGCGCAGGCGGUUUGAUAAGUCUGAUGUGAAAGCCUUUGGCUUAACCAAAGAAGUGCAUCGGAAACUGUCAGACUUGAGUGCAGAAGAGGACAGUGGAACUCCAUGUGUAGCGGUGGAAUGCGUAGAUAUAUGGAAGAACACCAGUGGCGAAGGCGGCUGUCUGGUCUGCAACUGACGCUGAGGCUCGAAAGCAUGGGUAGCGAACAGGAUUAGAUACCCUGGUAGUCCAUGCCGUAAACGAUGAGUGCUAGGUGUUGGAGGGUUUCCGCCCUUCAGUGCCGCAGCUAACGCAUUAAGCACUCCGCCUGGGGAGUACGACCGCAAGGUUGAAACUCAAAGGAAUUGACGGGGGCCCGCACAAGCGGUGGAGCAUGUGGUUUAAUUCGAAGCUACGCGAAGAACCUUACCAGGUCUUGACAUCUUGCGCCAACCCUAGAGAUAGGGCGUUUCCUUCGGGAACGCAAUGACAGGUGGUGCAUGGUCGUCGUCAGCUCGUGUCGUGAGAUGUUGGGUUAAGUCCCGCAACGAGCGCAACCCUUGUUACUAGUUGCCAGCAUUCAGUUGGGCACUCUAGUGAGACUGCCGGUGACAAACCGGAGGAAGGUGGGGACGACGUCAGAUCAUCAUGCCCCUUAUGACCUGGGCUACACACGUGCUACAAUGGACGGUACAACGAGUCGCGAACUCGCGAGGGCAAGCUAAUCUCUUAAAACCGUUCUCAGUUCGGACUGCAGGCUGCAACUCGCCUGCACGAAGUCGGAAUCGCUAGUAAUCGCGGAUCAGCAUGCCGCGGUGAAUACGUUCCCGGGCCUUGUACACACCGCCCGUCACACCAUGAGAGUUUGCAACACCCAAAGUCGGUGGGGUAACCCUUCGGGGAGCUAGCCG